UACACUCCUACGGGAGGCAGCAGUGGGGAAUUUUGGACAAUGGGCGAAAGCCUGAUCCAGCCAUGCCGCGUGCAGGAUGAAGGCCUUCGGGUUGUAAACUGCUUUUGUACGGAACGAAACGGCCUUUUCUAAUAAAGAGGGCUAAUGACGGUACCGUAAGAAUAAGCACCGGCUAACUACGUGCCAGCAGCCGCGGUAAUACGUAGGGUGCAAGCGUUAAUCGGAAUUACUGGGCGUAAAGCGUGCGCAGGCGGUUAUGUAAGACAGUUGUGAAAUCCCCGGGCUCAACCUGGGAACUGCAUCUGUGACUGCAUAGCUAGAGUACGGUAGAGGGGGAUGGAAUUCCGCGUGGAGCAGUGAAAUGCGUAGAUAUGCGGAGGAACACCGAUGGCGAAGGCAAUCCCCUGGACCUGUACUGACGCUCAUGCACGAAAGCGUGGGGAGCAAACAGGAUUAGAAACCCGAGUAGUCCC
RNAcentral lists this ribosomal RNA (473 nucleotides) under uncultured organism. Its description in RNAcentral is "partial 16S ribosomal RNA". It matches the Rfam family "Bacterial small subunit ribosomal RNA", at positions 332 to 797 of the family's 1533-position model. The record is from RNAcentral.